This 450-nucleotide ribosomal RNA is filed under the name uncultured bacterium. RNAcentral describes it as "partial 16S ribosomal RNA". It matches the Rfam family "Bacterial small subunit ribosomal RNA", at positions 338 to 795 of the family's 1533-position model. The record is from RNAcentral.
CCUACGGGCGGCUGCAGUGAGGAAUAUUGGUCAAUGGACGCAAGUCUGAACCAGCCAUGCCGCGUGGAGGAUGACAGCCUUCUGGGUUGUAAACUUCUUUUAUAUGGGAAGAAAAGUACGGUUUCUACUGUAUCCGACGGUACCAUAUGAAUAAGCACCGGCUAACUCCGUGCCAGCAGCCGCGGUAAUACUGAGGGUGCAAGCGUUAUCCGGAUUAACUGGGUUGAAAGGGUGUAUAUACGUAUGUUGUGAAAUCUCCGGGCUCAACCCGGAAACUGCCUUUGAUACUAUUUAUCUUGAAUUUCGUUGAGGUUGGCGGAAUAUAUCAUGUAGCGGUGAAAUGCAUAGAUAUGAUAUAGAACACCGAUUGCGUAGGCAGCUGGCUGAACGAACAUUGACGCUGAGGCACGAAAGCGUGGGUAGCGAACAGGAUUAGAUACCCGUGUAGUC